RNAcentral lists this transfer RNA (2890 nucleotides) under Streptococcus pneumoniae. RNAcentral describes it as "bacterial SSU rRNA". The stretch from base 1350 to 2890 matches the Rfam family "Bacterial small subunit ribosomal RNA". The record is from RNAcentral. Lineage: Bacteria; Bacillati; Bacillota; Bacilli; Lactobacillales; Streptococcaceae.
AGAGUUUGAUCCUGGCUCAGGACGAACGCUGGCGGCGUGCCUAAUACAUGCAAGUAGAACGCUGAAGGAGGAGCUUGCUUCUCUGGAUGAGUUGCGAACGGGUGAGUAACGCGUAGGUAACCUGCCUGGUAGCGGGGGAUAACUAUUGGAAACGAUAGCUAAUACCGCAUAAGAGUAGAUGUUGCAUGACAUUUGCUUAAAAGGUGCACUUGCAUCACUACCAGAUGGACCUGCGUUGUAUUAGCUAGUUGGUGGGGUAACGGCUCACCAAGGCGACGAUACAUAGCCGACCUGAGAGGGUGAUCGGCCACACUGGGACUGAGACACGGCCCAGACUCCUACGGGAGGCAGCAGUAGGGAAUCUUCGGCAAUGGACGGAAGUCUGACCGAGCAACGCCGCGUGAGUGAAGAAGGUUUUCGGAUCGUAAAGCUCUGUUGUAAGAGAAGAACGAGUGUGAGAGUGGAANUAUGAAGAAGUCCAAGGGACUGUUUAUAAGUGUAGAAAUGAAUAUUACCUUCAUUUAUGGGAAUUGUCGGAUUGGGACCAAGAAGGCAUGCUCUGCUUACAUGAAUUGAUUAGUAGAGAAGAAGGACUGGUAGACGAUAUUCCACGUUUAAGGAAAUAUUUCAAAACCAAGUUUCGAAAUCGAAUUUUAGACUAUAUCCGUAAGCAGGAAAGUCAGAAGCGUAGAUACGAUAAAGAACCCUAUGAAGAAGUGGGAGAGAUCAGUCAUCGUAUAAGUGAGGGGGGUCUCUGGCUAGAUGAUUAUUAUCUCUUUCAUGAAACACUAAGAGAUUAUAGAAACAAACAAAGUAAAGAGAAACAAGAAGAACUAGAACGCGUCUUAAGCAAUGAACGAUUUCGAGGGCGUCAAAGAGUAUUAAGAGACUUACGCAUUGUGUUUAAGGAGUUUACUAUCCGUACCCACUAGUAAGUCAUGCAAAAAAAAUGAAAAAAAUUAGAAAAAGUAGUUGACAAAGUUUGAAAAGACUGUAUAAUAGUAAGAGUUGAAAAUAACAACUCAGGUCCGUUGGUCAAGGGGUUAAGACACCGCCUUUUCACGGCGGUAACACGGGUUCGAAUCCCGUACGGACUAUGGUAUGUUGCGUCAGGACCACUUGAUGAAAAAAAGUUUAAAAAAACUUAAAAAUCUUCAAAAAAGUGUUGACAAGCGAAAGCAGUUGUGAUAUACUAAUAUAGUUGUCGCUUGAGAGAAGCAAGUGACAAAGACCUUUGAAAACUGAACAAGACGAACCAAUGUGCAGGGCGCUACAACAUAAGUUGUAGUACUGAACAAUGAAAAAAACAAUAAAUCUGUCAGUGACAGAAAUGAGUAAGAACUCAAACUUUUAAUGAGAGUUUGAUCCUGGCUCAGGACGAACGCUGGCGGCGUGCCUAAUACAUGCAAGUAGAACGCUGAAGGAGGAGCUUGCUUCUCUGGAUGAGUUGCGAACGGGUGAGUAACGCGUAGGUAACCUGCCUGGUAGCGGGGGAUAACUAUUGGAAACGAUAGCUAAUACCGCAUAAGAGUAGAUGUUGCAUGACAUUUGCUUAAAAGGUGCACUUGCAUCACUACCAGAUGGACCUGCGUUGUAUUAGCUAGUUGGUGGGGUAACGGCUCACCAAGGCGACGAUACAUAGCCGACCUGAGAGGGUGAUCGGCCACACUGGGACUGAGACACGGCCCAGACUCCUACGGGAGGCAGCAGUAGGGAAUCUUCGGCAAUGGACGGAAGUCUGACCGAGCAACGCCGCGUGAGUGAAGAAGGUUUUCGGAUCGUAAAGCUCUGUUGUAAGAGAAGAACGAGUGUGAGAGUGGAAAGUUCACACUGUGACGGUAUCUUACCAGAAAGGGACGGCUAACUACGUGCCAGCAGCCGCGGUAAUACGUAGGUCCCGAGCGUUGUCCGGAUUUAUUGGGCGUAAAGCGAGCGCAGGCGGUUAGAUAAGUCUGAAGUUAAAGGCUGUGGCUUAACCAUAGUAGGCUUUGGAAACUGUUUAACUUGAGUGCAAGAGGGGAGAGUGGAAUUCCAUGUGUAGCGGUGAAAUGCGUAGAUAUAUGGAGGAACACCGGUGGCGAAAGCGGCUCUCUGGCUUGUAACUGACGCUGAGGCUCGAAAGCGUGGGGAGCAAACAGGAUUAGAUACCCUGGUAGUCCACGCUGUAAACGAUGAGUGCUAGGUGUUAGACCCUUUCCGGGGUUUAGUGCCGUAGCUAACGCAUUAAGCACUCCGCCUGGGGAGUACGACCGCAAGGUUGAAACUCAAAGGAAUUGACGGGGGCCCGCACAAGCGGUGGAGCAUGUGGUUUAAUUCGAAGCAACGCGAAGAACCUUACCAGGUCUUGACAUCCCUCUGACCGCUCUAGAGAUAGAGUUUUCCUUCGGGACAGAGGUGACAGGUGGUGCAUGGUUGUCGUCAGCUCGUGUCGUGAGAUGUUGGGUUAAGUCCCGCAACGAGCGCAACCCCUAUUGUUAGUUGCCAUCAUUUAGUUGGGCACUCUAGCGAGACUGCCGGUAAUAAACCGGAGGAAGGUGGGGAUGACGUCAAAUCAUCAUGCCCCUUAUGACCUGGGCUACACACGUGCUACAAUGGCUGGUACAACGAGUCGCAAGCCGGUGACGGCAAGCUAAUCUCUUAAAGCCAGUCUCAGUUCGGAUUGUAGGCUGCAACUCGCCUACAUGAAGUCGGAAUCGCUAGUAAUCGCGGAUCAGCACGCCGCGGUGAAUACGUUCCCGGGCCUUGUACACACCGCCCGUCACACCACGAGAGUUUGUAACACCCGAAGUCGGUGAGGUAACCGUAAGGAGCCAGCCGCCUAAGGUGGGAUAGAUGAUUGGGGUGAAGUCGUAACAAGGUAGCCGUAUCGGAAGGUGCGGCUGGAUCACCU